This is a long non-coding RNA of Anarrhichthys ocellatus (wolf-eel), 1727 nucleotides long. RefSeq lists it as uncharacterized. The transcript has 3 exons. Lineage: Eukaryota; Metazoa; Chordata; Actinopteri; Perciformes; Anarhichadidae. The record is from RefSeq and is a predicted model, not a curated record.
CUCUGUCUCUCUCUGUCUCUCUCUCCUCUCUCUUUCUCACAUCGUCCUCGUCUCUUUUAGCUGGGCUCUACGUCCUGCAGGUGCGUUCAUAACGCCAUUAAUUAUUCACCCAAUCACGCCCAGCCGUCCUGGUACUGACCCGGGAUCAGGGUCCACCCAGCAGCUCGUCUGUCCCCGGCCCCGGUUUGACAGAGAGGCUGAUCUGGGAUCUGUCGGGGCCUCCAGCAGAGAACGCUCACUGCAGCAGAAAACAGCAGAAUCUCAUCUUACAGCUCCACUCGAUUAAAGGACAGGGACUCACUAAAGUGUGUGUGUGUGUGUGUGUGUGUGUGUGCUGCGUAUUUCUCUCUGGGUCCAGUGUUGUCCACUUAAAAAUCAAAAUAAAAACCUGUCUUUACCCGGUUUAUUUUGAAGUUUUCAAGCUUUUCUUUUUAUGCCGCAAAACAAGCAAAAAUGUGGUAAAAAGCCCGAUUCAGGUGCAUAUUCUGAAUACGCUCAAUACGUGUCCAAAGAAUGCUCCGAAAACCUAAUUUAUAUCGGCAUAUCUCACACGUCUUAAUGCUCCAUUCAGAAUCAGGCCUCAUUCAGAACAUCCUGUUUUAUGUCCGUCAGUGUUCAGACCACUGAGCUUUGUUUUGAUCCCAAAUCAGGACGUCAGGAUGAACGUCUAUUAUCUACGUGUGGUACAGCCAUUCAAAAAAGGAUCAUUUCAACAUUAUAUAGCGUCAAAAAGAGCCGAAACAAUCUGAUACUGAACAUAUACGGUAUAGACAGACAGUGGGGAGUAAGACGAUUCUUCCAACAGGAGGAUUUGUUGUGUGAUAUAUGAGGAUGUUUCUAAAAAUGUCAGAGCCCACAGAGUUCUUUCUGUGUUUUUUUUUGCUGGAACUGCACAUUUUCAAAUAGUUUCUGCAGAAGAGAACCAGCCCUGUAUUUGAAACAGACCUUCCAGACUGAGCUCAGUAGCUGCUGGAUUGAUUCGUGGUUCCCUGAGGAUGAAUCCUUUUCCUCGAGCGACACCGUGAGACAUUUGUGGUUCAGAGAGAAAUGUCUCCACAACUGUCGGAUGCAAUUUUUGGUGCAGACAUUCAUGCUCUUUGCAGAUUUUGGUGAUGGACUGACUGGUUUCAUCCAGUGACAGCAUGUGGUGCAGACGUCCCGUGUUGAAAACACGACCUCACAAGUUCCCUUUGAAGGCGGCGUUGACACUUUGUAUCUGUGUGUUAUCGCACGAUGCUCCUGCAUGUUGGGAGGAAACAGUCACGAUGGCAUAGCGAAGGUUUGACGUGUCACUUCCUGCUGGGGAUCUCGUGUGGUGGAGUGUGUCGGGUCUCAGAUGUUUCUGUCGCUGUGUGUCGGUGACGCAUGUGUACGUGUGUGUGUGUGUGUGUGUGUAACGCUUUGCUUUUGCUUCACCUGCUGCCCAGGUAACCCUAAGACCCCGCCCUGCCAUGCCAUUGGCUCCGCUCUGCCCAAUGAGCUUCCUGCUGCUUCCAGCGCCCAACAAUCCCAUAACGUUGGUGACUUCCUGUCUCCACCCGGGAUGGAUCAGCCAAUCAACAAGCAGCUCUCCAACUCGUCUGCUGCCCUCCACUCACCAGAGAGAGUGUCUUUUGUGUCCCAUCGAACAGCUUCCCCCAGCAACCACAGACCGAACAGAAGUUCCUCCAACCGCAGGAGCAUCGCUGGACUCCCCGAGGAGACGUCCAGAGCCAAGACACCCACGG